Molecule: ribosomal RNA, 364 nt
Filed under: uncultured Alphaproteobacteria bacterium
Lineage: Bacteria; Pseudomonadati; Pseudomonadota; Alphaproteobacteria
Description: bacterial SSU rRNA
Rfam family: Bacterial small subunit ribosomal RNA
Source: RNAcentral
ACAGGUGCUGCAUGGCUGUCGUCAGCUCGUGUCGUGAGAUGUUCGGUUAAGUCCGGCAACGAGCGCAACCCACAUCUUCAGUUGCCAUCAGUUCGGCUGGGCACUCUGGAGAAACUGCCCGUGAUAAGCGGGAGGAAGGUGUGGAUGACGUCAAGUCCUCAUGGCCCUUACGGGUUGGGCUACACACGUGCUACAAUGGCAGUGACAAUGGGUUAAUCCCCAAAAAACUGUCUCAGUUCGGAUUGUUCUCUGCAACUCGAGAGCAUGAAGUCGGAAUCGCUAGUAAUCGCGUAACAGCAUGACGCGGUGAAUACGUUCCCGGGCCUUGUACACACCGCCCGUCACACCAUGGGAAUUGGUUCUA